This 367-nucleotide ribosomal RNA is filed under the name Staphylococcus epidermidis NIHLM067. RNAcentral's name for it is "bacterial SSU rRNA". It matches the Rfam family "Bacterial small subunit ribosomal RNA", at positions 1 to 355 of the family's 1533-position model. Lineage: Bacteria; Bacillati; Bacillota; Bacilli; Caryophanales; Staphylococcaceae. The record is from RNAcentral.
UUUUAUGGAGAGUUUGAUCCUGGCUCAGGAUGAACGCUGGCGGCGUGCCUAAUACAUGCAAGUCGAGCGAACAGACGAGGAGCUUGCUCCUCUGACGUUAGCGGCGGACGGGUGAGUAACACGUGGAUAACCUACCUAUAAGACUGGGAUAACUUCGGGAAACCGGAGCUAAUACCGGAUAAUAUAUUGAACCGCAUGGUUCAAUAGUGAAAGACGGUUUUGCUGUCACUUAUAGAUGGAUCCGCGCCGCAUUAGCUAGUUGGUAAGGUAACGGCUUACCAAGGCAACGAUGCGUAGCCGACCUGAGAGGGUGAUCGGCCACACUGGAACUGAGACACGGUCCAGACUCCGUACGGGAGGCAGCAGU